Chinchilla lanigera (long-tailed chinchilla) is the source of this 836-nucleotide long non-coding RNA. RefSeq lists it as uncharacterized. The transcript has 3 exons. The record is from RefSeq and is a predicted model, not a curated record. NCBI's taxonomy places the organism in Eukaryota, Metazoa, Chordata, Mammalia, Rodentia, Chinchillidae.
GGCAACCCUAACACAGGAAUUAUUCAUGCAGUCACUCGAGAGCCUUGCAGGGCUGGAAUUCCAGCCAGUGUGACUCUUAGCAGGGCACUCUUGCUGCCAGCCUACUGGUUUCUCUCGCAGGGAGACGGGAGGGGACUUCGGAAUCCAUCCCGAGGUGUCUGAGUCAGUCCUGAGGACUCAUCUCAUCCACAGAGGACACUUUCCAGGAGCUCCGACUGAUGCAUGAACCUGUAGACGUGUCCUACGUGCUUUCCUGCACAGGCCUGAAUUUUCUUCUUAAAUGAACAACUGACUGCACUGCACCCUCGGUCUCUCACACCUGACAAGCCGCUCUCCCCUUGCUCUGUGUAGCUGCUCCCUCGGUCUCUGUUGUCAGUGGAUGGACUAGCACCUGCUUUGCUGCGGCCCCGCUGAGAGACACUGACUUGGUGCUGCACACCACUUGCCCUGUCUGCCACCCUUCGGCCCAGAUGGGUUCAAGAGUGUUUGUAGUUUUCUUAGUUUGAUCUAACCCCUCAACUUACAAAUGUUCUCUCCAGGGUUUGAUUCCCAGAAAAUGAAGAAAUCCUUGACAGUGUCAAUUGUAAGUAAGAUAUAAAGUUUCCUAAAACAUUUAAACUUUUGGGCAGACAGGCUUUCUAUCUAAUGAUCCUGGUCAGUGGAAGGUCUGAGGCAUGCUGCAGAUUGGGGACAGUUUAAAAUGUGUCCUAAUUGCUCCAUGCUGUGGGAAUGGCAAUGUGUCGUCCACAGGAGCAGUGUUGCGAGAUAUAUUCAGUUAAAUCAUUUGAAUGACCUUAUUUUCUCAAGAAACCUGGAGUAAAACAAACCUUCGUGGG